Molecule: long non-coding RNA, 589 nt
Organism: Drosophila grimshawi
Lineage: Eukaryota; Metazoa; Arthropoda; Insecta; Diptera; Drosophilidae
Exons: 2
Source: RefSeq, a predicted model, not a curated record
UUACCCUGAUUGGAUUGAAAACUUCCAUAAAACUGGUUUGGGAUAACACGUGCCUUAACAACAGUCGAACACAUGUUGGCAUUUCGAUUUAUGCGCUAUAUAUAACCACAGAAUUCUAGCGCAGCUCUUGUCAACGCCCCACUGGCUGAGUUCGAACCUUGUGGUUGCGACGUGCUCAAAAAAAUAUAUUAAAAUAACACAAAGAAGCGCUUGGUUGGCAGACAUGCAAAAUGCAUAGAAAAUGUUGCAGAACAAAAAAUGUGGGUAGCUCAAAUGAUUAAAGCCCGCUGACAUGCUGCAAGCCAAUCAAGGCCAAUUUGUCGACACGCAACGACGAAAUUGGGUUGUCUGCAACGGACCACAAUCUUGGCCACGUUUCGCAAAUGGCAGGCGAUGUUAGAGCCAUUAGCUAAUUAAGUGCCCAAUGUUUCUGGGCACCCACUCACAAGGAAACUAGUGGAAAAACCGCAGACAAUAGCAAGCAAAGAAAAAUAAAAGUUGAAGAAUAAACUACAUUAAGGAUGCAAAGCAUUUUACAGAUUACACUUAACACUUGCCAAGCACAAAAUAAAAGUGAAAAAAAAUUGUA